AUUGAACGCUGGCGGCAUGCCUAACACAUGCAAGUCGAACGAGUGGCGGACGGGUGAGUAAUUUCUUGGAACCUUCCUGAUGGAGGGGGAUAACUCCUGGAACCGGUAGCUACUACCGCAUACCAUCGGAUGUUCCCAGAUGGGAUUAGUUAGUCGGUGGGGUAAAGGCUCACCUAGGCGACGAUCCCUAGCUGGUCUGAGAGGAUUAACGGCAACACUGGAACUGAGACACGGUCCAGACUCCUACGGGAGGCAGCAGUGGGGAAGAUUGCACAAUGGGCGCAAGCCUGAUGCAGCCAUGCCGCGUGUAUGAAGAAGGCCUUCGGGUUGUAAAGUACUUUCAGCGAGGAGGCGUUACUCGCAGAAGAAGCACCGGCUAACUCCGUGCCAGCAGCCGCGGUAAUUC
This 406-nucleotide ribosomal RNA is filed under the name uncultured bacterium. RNAcentral describes it as "partial 16S ribosomal RNA". It matches the Rfam family "Bacterial small subunit ribosomal RNA", at positions 30 to 526 of the family's 1533-position model. The record is from RNAcentral.